Molecule: unclassified non-coding RNA, 249 nt
Filed under: plant metagenome
Description: partial contains small subunit ribosomal RNA, internal transcribed spacer 1, and 5.8S ribosomal RNA
Rfam family: 5.8S ribosomal RNA (bases 201-249)
Source: RNAcentral
UCUCCGUAGGUGAACCUGCGGAGGGAUCAUUACUGAGUUCAUGCCCUACCGGGUAGACCUCCCACCCUAUGUUAUUAUUACUUUGUUGCUUUGGCGGGCCGUUAGGCUCCGGCCCGACUACCGGCCCCGGCUGGUAAGCGCCCGCCAGAGGACCCAAAACCCUGAAUAUUAGUGUCGUCUGAGUACUAUAUAAUAGUUAAAACUUUCAACAACGGAUCUCUUGGUUCUGGCAUCGAUGAAGAACGUAGC